CUCGGAAUGCCAGAGUGGCCCAAUGGCGUCGGCUGCAACCCGAUUGUAUCCCCGGUUCGAAUCCGGGUUCCGAGUCCA
RNAcentral lists this transfer RNA (78 nucleotides) under Roseivirga misakiensis. RNAcentral describes it as "tRNA-Cys(gca)". It matches the Rfam family "tRNA". From Rfam's summary of the family: Transfer RNA (tRNA) molecules are approximately 80 nucleotides in length. Their secondary structure includes four short double-helical elements and three loops (D, anti-codon, and T loops). Further hydrogen bonds mediate the characteristic L-shaped molecular structure. tRNAs have two regions of fundamental functional importance: the anti-codon, which is responsible for specific mRNA codon recognition, and the 3' end, to which the tRNAs corresponding amino acid is attached (by aminoacyl-tRNA synthetases). tRNAs cope with the degeneracy of the genetic code in two manners: having more than one tRNA (with a specific anti-codon) for a particular amino acid; and 'wobble' base-pairing, i.e. permitting non-standard base-pairing at the 3rd anti-codon position. Lineage: Bacteria; Pseudomonadati; Bacteroidota; Cytophagia; Cytophagales; Roseivirgaceae. The record is from RNAcentral.